CAGCGAAAUCGUUCUGUCGCUCUCAAAGACUUCGGUCAAUGAGGGAGGAAAGUCCGGACAGCAUAGAGCACUGCACCUUGAGAAACUGAGGGUGUCGGUUGAGGAAUCUCCGAUAUCAGAAAGUGCCACAGAAAAUAAACAGCCUAUGUUUUGGUUUCGACCAAAGCAGGUGAUGGUGAAAACGUGAGGUAAGAGCUCACGCACUUUGCUGGCAACAGCACUUUGGGUAAACCUUGCAGGCUGCAAGACCAUGUAAACCUAGGCUUGAGAGCUGCUCGCUCGAUCUGGGAGGGUAGGUCGCAUAGAUAAAUGGCAGAACAUCAUCUUAGGAUGAGGACAGAAUCCGGCUUAUAGAUUUCAUCAGGCU
This 367-nucleotide RNase P RNA is filed under the name Flavobacteriales bacterium. RNAcentral describes it as "RNase P RNA component class A". It matches the Rfam family "Bacterial RNase P class A". From Rfam's summary of the family: Ribonuclease P (RNase P) is a ubiquitous endoribonuclease, found in archaea, bacteria and eukarya as well as chloroplasts and mitochondria. Its best characterised activity is the generation of mature 5'-ends of tRNAs by cleaving the 5'-leader elements of precursor-tRNAs. Lineage: Bacteria; Pseudomonadati; Bacteroidota; Flavobacteriia; Flavobacteriales. The record is from RNAcentral. RNAcentral also lists the same sequence under 1 other name.